Molecule: ribosomal RNA, 490 nt
Filed under: uncultured bacterium
Lineage: Bacteria
Description: bacterial SSU rRNA
Rfam family: Bacterial small subunit ribosomal RNA
Source: RNAcentral
AUGGCUCAGGAUGAACGCUGGCGGCGUGCUUAACACAUGCAAGUCGAACGGAACUUAUGUGAUUGAGGAUUCGUCCAAAUGAUCAUAAGUUUAGUGGCGGACGGGUGAGUAACGCGUGAGGAACCUGCCUUGGAGUGGGGAAUAACACAGUGAAAAUUGUGCUAAUACCGCAUAAUGCAGUUGGGUCGCAUGGCUCUGACUACCAAAGGAGCAAUCCGCUGAAAGAUGGGCUCGCGUCCGAUUAGAUAGUUGGCGGGGUAACGGCCCACCAAGUCGACGAUCGGUAGCCGGACUGAGAGGUUGAUCGGCCACAUUGGGACUGAGACACGGCCCAAACUCCUACGGGAGGCAGCAGUGGGGAAUAUUGCACAAUGGGGGAAACCCUGAUGCAGCGACGCCGCGUGAGUGAAGAAGUAUUUCGGUAUGUAAAGCUCUAUCAGCAGGGAAGAAAAUGACGGUACCUGACUAAGAAGCCCCGGCUAACUACGUG